This 253-nucleotide ribosomal RNA is filed under the name uncultured bacterium. Its description in RNAcentral is "partial 16S ribosomal RNA". It matches the Rfam family "Bacterial small subunit ribosomal RNA", at positions 524 to 776 of the family's 1533-position model. The record is from RNAcentral.
UACAGAGGUUGCAAACGUUGUUCGGAAUUACUGGGCAUAAAGCGCACGUAGGCGGUUCGUUAAGUCAUGUGUGAAAUCCCCCGGCUCAACCGGGGAAUUGCGCCUGAUACUGGCGGGCUAGAGAUCGAUAGGGGUGAGUGGAACUCCAGGUGGAGCGGUGAAAUGCGUAGAUAUCUGGAGGAACACCGGUGGCGAAAGCGGCUCACUGGAUCGAUACUGACGCUGAGGUGCGAAAGCUAGGGUAGCAAACGGG